GGGCCAGACUCCUACGGGAGGCAGCAGUGGGGGAUAUUGCACAAUGGGGGGAACCCUGAUGCAGCGACGCCGCGUGGGUGAAGGAGCGUUUCGGCGCGUAAAGCCCUAUCGGCAGGGAAGAAGGAGGACGGUACCUGACUAAGAAGCCCCGGCUAACUACGUGCCAGCAGCCGCGGUAAUACGUAGGGGGCAAGCGUUAUCCGGAAUUAUUGGGUGUAAAGGGUGCGUAGACGGGAAAACAAGUUAGUUGUGAAAUCCCUCAGCUUAACUGAGGAACUGCAACUAAAACUAUUUUUCUUGAGUGCUGGAGAGGAAAGUGGAAUUCCUAGUGUAGCGGUGAAAUGCGUAGAUAUUAGGAGGAACACCAGUGGCGAAGGCGGCUCUCUGGACUGUAACUGACACUGAGGCACGAAAGCGUGGGGAGCAAACAGGAUUAGAUACCCCAGUA
RNAcentral lists this ribosomal RNA (448 nucleotides) under uncultured bacterium. Its description in RNAcentral is "partial 16S ribosomal RNA". It matches the Rfam family "Bacterial small subunit ribosomal RNA", at positions 328 to 792 of the family's 1533-position model. The record is from RNAcentral.